GACGAACGCUGGCGGCGUGCUUAACACAUGCAAGUCGAACGGAAAGGCCCUGCUUGCAGGGUACUCGAGUGGCGAACGGGUGAGUAACACGUGGGUGAUCUGCCCUGCACUUCGGGAUAAGCCUGGGAAACUGGGUCUAAUACCGGAUAGGAGCCAUUUUUAGUGUGAUGGUUGGAAAGUUUUUUCGGUGUAGGAUGAGCUCGCGGCCUAUCAGCUUGUUGGUGGGGUAAUGGCCUACCAAGGCGGCGACGGGUAGCCGGCCUGAGAGGGUGGACGGCCACGUGGAGCCUGAAUGGCGCCCGAGGUGCCGAUGGGGCGCCGCGGGGCGGAAUCGUGACGGAGGGACGCCGGCCUAGUGAUGACGCGCGGCGGGGGGGAAGACUCCCUUAGGAUUGAAAAACCAAUUCGCAAGGAACGAUGCUUUUCUUGACGGUACCUAAUUAGAAAGCCACGGCUAACUACGGG
Molecule: ribosomal RNA, 465 nt
Filed under: uncultured bacterium
Lineage: Bacteria
Description: partial 16S ribosomal RNA
Rfam family: Bacterial small subunit ribosomal RNA
Source: RNAcentral